UUUACUUUGGUCCCUAUUCCUUUUUCCAAUUUGACAGUAUAAAAUGAAGCUUUCUUCCUCAACCACUGAUAUAGUGUUGUUGUAAACUAGCAGAGCCGUCAAGGUGCUUAGGGUUUAUACAUUUUGCAUAAUUCGUAGUGUUCAUCAUUUCAUUUUCUUCAAAUUUAAUUUCAAAACUGUGAAUCGUGAGUGAUGAAGUUUAGGGGUGAAGCAUAUAGGGGAGAGCAGUAUUAAUCUGUGGCUCUGAAAUACCCGUAGGUUCUCUAUGGGGUGCCCUGUCUUUCAUGCCCUUUACAUCAAAUAUAUGGCAUCAUAGUACGGAUUUUGUGCUUUUAAUCACUUUUCCGCCUCCAAACGCCAUUACAUCAUAAUCAUACACUUCAUCACUCUUCAUUUUGUUCUGAUACAUAUCAAUUUUGUAGCAAUAAUAAGGGGUUUUGUUGUUUUAAACUUGGGUUGUUAAGAAAGUGAUGAUUAAAGCGCAGGUACUUCUGAGAUAUAGUUGGUUUUCGACAGAUCUAGUGUUAGUUCUCUUGGUGCAGCAUACUAUACUAGUGUUGCUGUGCCGGGCUUCUGGAUCGAGUCUGCAUGAUUAUAUUAUUAACUGCUUACUGAUUUUUUUUGACUUUCAAAGUAAUUGGUUAUACCGUAAAAUCUAGUUCUACUAUAAUUGUUGCUUUUGAUGUGCAUUUAAACAAAGUGUUUAUUUGUAAUUUUGUUAAGAUGAUUUGUGUAUUUUUGGGGCACUAAGGUUGUUUAUUUACAGGAUGUUAUUACCCUAGAGCAGUUACCUUUGGUAAUUUUGUCUUCCCGAUUUUGUUUUUGUUUGUGUUAACACCAAAAAUCAUUAUGUAUGGAGAGAGAGAGAAUGAGAGGGACUAUGGAUGUUCGUUGUGCAGGCUAUAACUUAUCCGAAUCGCAAGAGACUAUUGAAAAUGCAAAAGGUAACAUAUGGCGUGUUUCAAUCGGCUAAGUUCACAGUUGCGAAGAGAAAAGGGAAGUUUUUGAAGAAGUGGAGACUGAGAGCACAAAUAAUAUAAACCAUACAUUCAUCCCGUCCCACAUUGAUUGUUUCAUUAAUAUUAAGUGAUUAUAUAAUUCACCAUGGUUUUAAAUUAUUUAUUUCAUAUGUAAGUAAAAAAUGCAAUGGUAACAUUUAGAACCGCAAUUUAAACA
This is a long non-coding RNA of Lathyrus oleraceus (garden pea), 1176 nucleotides long. RefSeq lists it as uncharacterized. The record is from RefSeq and is a predicted model, not a curated record. The transcript has 2 exons. Lineage: Eukaryota; Viridiplantae; Streptophyta; Magnoliopsida; Fabales; Fabaceae.